RNAcentral lists this transfer RNA (72 nucleotides) under Thelohanellus kitauei. Its description in RNAcentral is "tRNA-Thr for anticodon UGU". It matches the Rfam family "tRNA". Rfam says of the family: Transfer RNA (tRNA) molecules are approximately 80 nucleotides in length. The record is from Rfam by way of RNAcentral. Lineage: Eukaryota; Metazoa; Cnidaria; Myxozoa; Bivalvulida; Myxobolidae.
GCCGGGAUAGCUUAGUGGUAGAGCGCCAGUCUUGUAAACUGGAGGUCGCCGGUUCAAUCCCGGUUUCCGGCA